AGUUUCAGUGACAUGAAGAGUGUGAAGUGAACCACCUAUCACCACGCUACUGCAAUAAUUCAUGACACUUGGAAAUUUAUCUCAACAUGUGGAGUAAUGCUGUUGGUUUCUGUGAAUUCCGUUUUUACGGUUUUGUCAUCAUGAAAUUUUCAGUGUGCUUCUUAGAAAAGAGCACUCAGUUUCUUUGUGGAAUCGUGUGGUCCUGGCACGGAUAUUCUUGAGCCAACGCUGGCUUUUGUCCAUGACCAACGUUCUGCUCCAUCCUUAUCUUCCCGAUGUAUCCAGCUCAUCCAGCUUCUGCUUCAUCGCUUCGUACACAAAAAUACAACUUGUCUUACUUCACUGUUGAGUACUCGAGUUUGGAACACUUCAGCGGUCGCUUCCGUGCCGAAGUUAAACACCUGCAGUCACUCACCACGGAAUUAUGCCCAGGUAAUGCAGAGGAGACGUCAAGAAGAUGGACACCAAAACAUCUCCGUUAUCUUCAAAAUGUCAGCGCGGAUCAUCAUUUAUUGUUGGUAAUAUUUGUGUUUGUGUUAGUUAAUCCGUUGUCUGCCACGCCUUUGUUCUCCCCUACCUCCUUAGCACGGGCUUCCUAGAGGCCCCCAAAAUGCGUGCUUUCCAUCUUCCCUGUCAGCCCGGACUUGUCAGCAAUGGCAAGUCCCACCUUGGUCAUGGAUCCUUCAGACAUGGCGCGUACAGAGUAGAGAACAACCUACGGGUUGUAUGGCGUGGCAGCCAACGGGUUAACUUAAGUGUAUGUAUGUAUGUAUGUGUGUGAUUGUAAAAAGUGGUGGAAUUGUGGGUGGAGGUGGGACAAUAAAGCAAUUCCUAUU
Long non-coding RNA from Daphnia pulex (common water flea), 836 nucleotides. RefSeq lists it as uncharacterized. The transcript has 3 exons. The record is from RefSeq and is a predicted model, not a curated record. Lineage: Eukaryota; Metazoa; Arthropoda; Branchiopoda; Diplostraca; Daphniidae.